RNAcentral lists this ribosomal RNA (1432 nucleotides) under uncultured bacterium. RNAcentral's name for it is "bacterial SSU rRNA". It matches the Rfam family "Bacterial small subunit ribosomal RNA". The record is from RNAcentral.
AGAGUUUGAUCCUGGCUCAGAACGUACGCUGGCGGCACGCCUAACACAUGCAAGUCGAACGAGUAGCAAUACUAGUGGGAGACGGGUGAGUAACAUGUAGGUAUCUGCCCUUUGGGCUGUAAUAACACGAGGAAACUUGUGCUAAUACCGGAUAAGUCUUUACGGAGAAAGCUUUAUGCGCCAUUGGAUGAGCCUGCGCUUGAUUAUUUUGUUGGUGGGGUAAUGGGCUACCAAGACUGUGAUCAAUAGCUGAUUUGAGAGGAUGAUCAGCCACAUUGGGACUGAGACACGGCCCACACUCCUACGGGAGGCAGCAGUGGGGAAUCUUGCGCAAUGGAGGAAACUCUGAUGCGGCGAUGCCGCGUGAGUGAAAAAAGCCCUUGGGUUGUAAAGCUCUUUCUUCGGGGAAAAAAAUGACUGUGCCCGAAUAAAAAAGUCCGGCUAACUUCUUGCCACCAGCCGCGGUAAUACAAAGGGACCUAUCGUAGUUCGGAAUUACUGUGCUUAUAGAGAUCGCAGGUGGGUGAGAAAGUUGGUGGUGAGAUCCCACAGCUUAACUCUGUAACUGCCAUCUCAACUUUUCAGCUAUAGUAUGAUAGAGGAGAGCAGAAUUUCUAGUGUAUAGGUGAGAUUCGUAGAUAUUAUAAAGAAUACCACUUGCGAAGGCAGCUUUCUGGAUCAUUACUGACACUGAGGAACGAGAGCAUGUGUAGCGAGAGGAUUAGAUACCCUCGUAGUCCAUGUCGUAACGAUGUGUGUAUACGAUGGAAAUUUAUUAUUCACUGUCGCAGCGAAAGCGAUAAACACACCGCCUGGGGAGUACGACCGCAAGGUUAAAACUCAAAUGAAUUGACGGGGACCCGCACAAGUAGUGGAGCAUGUGGUUUAAUUCGAAGAUACGCGCAGAACCUUACCAACACUUGACAUGUUCGUCGCGACUUUAAGAGAUUAAAGUUUUCGGUUCGGCCGGACGAAACACAGGUGCUGCAUGGCUGUCGUCAGCUCGUGUCGUGAGAUGUUGGGUUAAGUCCCGCAACGAGCGCAACCCUCACUUUUAGUUGCCAUCAUUUAGUUGGGCACUCUGAAAGAACUGCCAGUGAUAAGCUGGAGGAAGGUGGGGAUGACGUCAAGUCCUCAUGGCCCUUACGUGUUGGGCUACACACGUGCUACAAUGGCAUUUACAAUAGGAAGCAAAACGGCGACGUUAAGCAAAUCCUAAAAAAAUGCCUCAGUUCGGAUUGUACUCUGCAACUCGAGUACAUGAAGCUGGAAUUACUAGUAAUCGCGGAUCAGCGCGCCGCGGUGAAUACGUUCCCGGGUCUUGUACACACCGCCCGUCACACCAUGGGAGUUGGUUCUACCUUAAGGCAAAGGUUAAAAACUUUGACCACGGUAUAGUCAGCGACUGGGGUGAAGUCGUAACAAGGUAACC